This is a long non-coding RNA of Struthio camelus australis, 961 nucleotides long. RefSeq lists it as uncharacterized. NCBI's taxonomy places the organism in Eukaryota, Metazoa, Chordata, Aves, Struthioniformes, Struthionidae. The record is from RefSeq and is a predicted model, not a curated record.
GGGAGCGCGGCGGUGCUGUGCGCCCCGGCUGCGGAAACAAAAACGUGCGAUACCUUCCUUCGGGCUGACCGCCUUUCUUCUGCAGAAGAAGUGUCCCCGUUGUCCCCCACGGAGCGGAUGGCGAGGGGACGCGGAGCAGGACACGACCCAGGCGUCACCUGCAACAUACCACACCCUACCAGCGUCAGAAACAAGACUGUUAAACCACAGUAAAAACCAUGGGUCAUCAUCCAGUCCUGUGAAAAGAUAAAGUGAAUCCACUCCCGGCUCCUCUGCGGCCUCUGAGGGUUCAAGGUCCUUUCCUGUUAAUGCAAGAUAUAUCACUCCUUAUUUUGUAACUGCAAGAACAGGAAUCUCUGUGUUCCUCUUUACGUGAGAAACCAUUCUUCCCAUUGCCCGUCCCUUGCAACUACAGGAUCACAAAAGGUAUUUCUUAUAAGGAAAAUUCUUGUUUACCUGCGCAAAGGAGGUAAGCUGCACUCACACAGCAUUGAUCAGAUAGCUCAGAUGACCACAAAUACUGACAUUACAGUAGUAUUUUGUACUGUUGUUAGUUUGUACGCAGCAGUGGUUCACACACAGGGCUAGACCCUUUUUCUUCUGCCACUAAUUAUUGUGGAUGCCAAAUUAAUAGACUGUUAUUAUGGGCAAAACCAGUGAAAAUCAAGUGAACAAAAUCAUGCAAGUAAACAAAGGCCUCAAUAACUGCUUUCUAACGUUACCUUACUUCAGAGGGUUUUGGAUGAAAUUGUGGUUCUACCAGAUAUUUUUAAUCUCGGUCCUUUCUCUAAAGCCUCACAUGAUGUAAGAUCAAGUCUGGCUUCAUUCUGCUCAAGAGGAGUGACACCGUUUUCACACAGACUCGAGUUCUGGCCUUUGGAUUUUAUUCAGAUUAAAUCUCUGCUAGAGAAAGACCUCAUAGCCGGCUAUCCUAGCGCUGCUGAACAACACUGAUUUUAUG